CCUACGGGAGGCAGCAGUGAGGAAUAUUGGUCAAUGGACGGAAGUCUGAACCAGCCAUGCCGCGUGCAGGAAGACGGCUCUAUGAGUUGUAAACUGCUUUUGUACAAGGGUAAACCUGAAUACGUGUAUUCAGCUGAAAGUACUGUACGAAUAAGGAUCGGCUAACCCCGUGCCAGCAGCCGCGGGAAUACGGAGGAUCCAAGCGUUAUUCGGAAUGACUGGGCGUAACGGGUGCGUAGGUGGUUUGACAAGGUGGUAGCGUAACUCCCGGGCUCAACCUCGGCCCUACUACCAAAACUGUCGGACUUGAGUGCAGGAGGGGCAAAUGGAAUUCCUAGUGUAGCGGUGGAAUGCGUAGAUAUUAGGAGGAACACCAGUGGCGAAGGCGAUUUGCUGGACUGUAACUGACACUGAGGCACGAAAGCGUGGGGAGCAAACAGGAUUAGAUAUCUCUGUAGUC
This 460-nucleotide ribosomal RNA is filed under the name uncultured bacterium. RNAcentral describes it as "partial 16S ribosomal RNA". It matches the Rfam family "Bacterial small subunit ribosomal RNA", at positions 338 to 795 of the family's 1533-position model. The record is from RNAcentral.